Molecule: non-coding RNA, 84 nt
Organism: Colletotrichum gloeosporioides
Lineage: Eukaryota; Fungi; Ascomycota; Sordariomycetes; Glomerellales; Glomerellaceae
Source: Rfam
CGUCCGUGAUGAACAACCUUUUCAUUCAGUUCUGCUACUGAGAUCUGUGAUGAUACCCAUUUACCAAAAAGAACUUUCUGAUGG